RNAcentral lists this ribosomal RNA (424 nucleotides) under uncultured prokaryote. Its description in RNAcentral is "bacterial SSU rRNA". It matches the Rfam family "Bacterial small subunit ribosomal RNA", at positions 355 to 774 of the family's 1533-position model. The record is from RNAcentral.
UCGAGAAUCUUCGGCAAUGGGCGCAAGCCUGACCGAGCGACGCCGCGUGCGGGAUGAAGGCCUUCGGGUUGUAAACCGCUGUCGGAGGGGAGGAAAUGCUAUGAGGUACUCCUCAUAGUUUGACCUAGCCUCAAAGGAAGGACGGGCUAAGUUCGUGCCAGCAGCCGCGGUAAGACGAACCGUCCAAACGUUAUUCGGAAUCACUGGGCUUAAAGGGUGCGUAGGCGGCCCUGAAAGUUGGGUGUGAAAUCCCUCGGCUCAACCGAGGAACUGCGCCCAAAACUACAGGGCUUGAGGGAGACAGAGGUGAGCGGAACUUGCGGUGGAGCGGUGAAAUGCGUUGAUAUCGCAAGGAACACCAGUGGCGUAAGCGGCUCACUGGGUCUCUUCUGACGCUGAGGCACGAAAGCUAGGGGAGCGAACG